RNAcentral lists this ribosomal RNA (441 nucleotides) under uncultured bacterium. RNAcentral describes it as "partial 16S ribosomal RNA". It matches the Rfam family "Bacterial small subunit ribosomal RNA", at positions 339 to 795 of the family's 1533-position model. The record is from RNAcentral.
CUACGGGGGGCUCCAGUGGGGAAUAUUGCACAAUGGGCGCAAGCCUGAUGCAGCAACGCCGUGUGAGUGAUGACGGCCUUCGGGUUGUAAAACUCUGUCCUAAGGGAAGAAACAAAUGACGGUACCUUAGGAGGAAGCCCCGGCUAACUACGUGCCAGCAGCCGCGGUAAUACGUAGGGGGCAAGCGUUAUCCGGAAUCACUGGGCGUAAAGGGUGCGUAGGCGGCUUAGCAAGCCAGGGGUGAAAGGCAUUGGCUCAACCAAUGUAAGCCUUUGGAACUGCUAGGCUUGAGUGCAGGAGAGGUAAGUGGAAUUCCUAGUGUAGAGGUGAAAUUCGUAGAUAUUAGGAGGAACACCAGUGGCGAAGGCGACUUACUGGACUGUAACUGACGCUGAGGCACGAAAGCGUGGGGAGCGAACAGGAUUAGAUACCCCGGUAGUC